This 1255-nucleotide long non-coding RNA is filed under the name Aquilegia coerulea. Its description in RNAcentral is "long non-coding RNA (ACOE_LNC002207)". Lineage: Eukaryota; Viridiplantae; Streptophyta; Magnoliopsida; Ranunculales; Ranunculaceae. The record is from RNAcentral.
AGAAGAUAAAUGACGGAAGAGGAACAGUUCAUCAACAAUUCAAACCAAGCUAAGCAUGAGAUAAAUGAAGCGAGUGGAAAUGAAAAUCCAAACCAAGUUAAGCAUGAGAUAAAAGAAGCGAGUAGAGAUUCAAAGGAAGGGGAUGAUAUACCUCUAACAGGUAAAAAUUUGAAACUUUUUUUAGUAAUUAAUAACAAAAUCUUUAAUUAUUGGAAUUGGACGUUGAUAAAGUGUAUGUUUUGUGGCAUUAGGAACAAUGAAGAAUGAUAGUGAAAACACGGUGGAGUGGACUCCUGAAGAACUCAAGCUUUUAGAUGAAGGGCUCAUAAAGUAAGUUUGUUAUUCUUUUUCUGUUCUUCUUCUAUCGAACUCAACGUUAUUGAUAUUAAUAAUUGAUUAACACUUUUCUAAUUUCUUAGGUAUGCUCAAGAAUCAAAUACAAGUACAGAGAAGUUUGCUAAAAUAGCACAAACGCGGCGAACGAAAACUCUGAUGCAGGUUAUGUCAAUGAGCUGAAAAAGGGUGAAUGCGAGGACUCCUGAAGAAUAACCAAAUUUGGGUAAAACUGGAGGUUUGUUUUUCUAAUUAGGGUUAGAAAUUAUUUGGGUAAUUAGGCACAAGUCCACUGUUCCUAGACUUUAAGUUUUUCCAAAGUGUUGGACUGAUCAAUAGGAAUUUUCCUAGUGGAAAAGUCCAAGCCCAACCCCACGAUCCGUUUUUGGGUUUGGAUUGGACCCAUUACCAUGAACCACUAUGAGUAUAUAAAUCCAUAAAAUCUUUUGGAUAUAAGUUUAUAGUCCACAACCACUAUCAUAAAGCCUUUUGGACUGAUUAAUAUGAAUUUUGCAAGUGGCCAAGUCCAUACCCAAGCCCACAAUCCACUUUUGGAUUUGGAUUGGACCCACUAUAAAGGACCACUAUGAGUAUAUAAAUCCAUAAAGUUUUUUGAAUAUAAGUUUAUUGCCCACAACCACUAUUAACUCUUUAAACCUUACAGUAAUUUUUUUUCAUAUGUAGGAGGGAAAAUAAAUCUUAUUAAAGAGCAUUGGUGUGUCAAUUGGAUUGGGACACGUACGUAUUACCAAUAUUUGAGUCUUGGGAUGAAGAUAGUUAUAGUAGGAAUCUUAGUGGUUGCUGCGAUUUUUGAUCUUACUCUUCAUGAGGUUGAAAUCAUGUUUCAUGUUAUCAUAGUAAUGGUUAUGACUUAUGAUAAAACUAUAUUCAAUAGUUUUAAUCUUUGAAAUGAUUGAAAAAU